CGGUGGAGCAUGUGGUUUAAUUCGAAGCAACGCGAAGAACCUUACCUGGGUUUGAAAUGUAGUGGUAAGCCUCAGAGAUGGUCCUCGCCGCAAUAGGUGUGACGAGCGCAACCCUUGUCCAUAGUUGCUAACGGGAUGUCAAGUCUCAUGGCCUUUAUGUCCAGGCUACAUACAUGGACGGUACAAGGGUCGCAAAACCGCGAGGUGGAGCUUCCCAAAAAGCCGUUCUCAGUUCGGAUUGCUCUGCAACUCGAGAGCAUGAAGCUGGAAUCGCUAGUAAUCGGGAUCAGAACGCCGCGGUGAAUACGUUCCCGGGCCUUGUACACACCGCCGUCACAUCACGAAAGUCGGUUGCACUAGAAGUCGGUGGGCUAACCCGCAAGGGGGGCAGCCGCCUAAAUGUGAUCGGUAAUUGGGGUGAAGUCGUACAAGGU
This 434-nucleotide ribosomal RNA is filed under the name uncultured Acidobacteriota bacterium. Its description in RNAcentral is "bacterial SSU rRNA". It matches the Rfam family "Bacterial small subunit ribosomal RNA", at positions 930 to 1497 of the family's 1533-position model. Lineage: Bacteria; Pseudomonadati; Acidobacteriota. The record is from RNAcentral.